This 468-nucleotide ribosomal RNA is filed under the name uncultured bacterium. RNAcentral's name for it is "partial 16S ribosomal RNA". It matches the Rfam family "Bacterial small subunit ribosomal RNA", at positions 28 to 507 of the family's 1533-position model. The record is from RNAcentral.
GACGAACGCUGGCGGCGUGCUUAACACAUGCAAGUCGAACGGAAAGGCCCUGCUUUUGUGGGGUGCUCGAGUGGCGAACGGGUGAGUAACACGUGAGUAACCUGCCCUUGACUUUGGGAUAACUUCAGGAAACUGGGGCUAAUACCGGAUAGGAGCUCCUGCUGCAUGGUGGGGGUUGGAAAGUUUCGGCGGUUGGGGAUGGACUCGCGGCUUAUCAGCUUGUUGGUGGGGUAGUGGCUUACCAAGGCUUUGACGGGUAGCCGGCCUGAGAGGGUGACCGGCCACAGUGGGACUGAGAUACGGCCCAGACGCCUACGGGAGGCAGCAGUGGGGAAUAUUGCACAAUGGGCGGAAGCCUGAUGCAGCAACGCCGCGUGCGGGAUGACGGCCUUCGGGUUGUAAACCGCUUUCGCCUGUGACGAAGCGUGAGUGACGGUAAUGGGUAAAGAAGCACCGGCUAACUACGUG